AUUGAACGCUGGCGGCAGGCUUAACACAUGCAAGUCGAGCGGGGUGAUGGUGCUUGCACUAUCACUUAGCGGCGGACGGGUGAGUAAUGCUUAGGAAUCUGCCUAUUAGUGGGGGACAACAUCUCGAAAGGGAUGCUAAUACCGCAUACGUCCUACGGGAGAAAGCAGGGGAUCACUUGUGACCUUGCGCUAAUAGAUGAGCCUAAGUCGGAUUAGCUAGUUGGUGGGGUAAAGGCCUACCAAGGCGACGAUCUGUAGCGGGUCUGAGAGGAUGAACCGCCACAAUGGGACUGAGACACGGCCCAGAUUCCUACGGGAAGCAGCAGUGGGGAAUAUUGGACAAUGGGGGGAACCCUGAUCCAGCCAUGCCGCGUGUGUGAAGAAGGCCUUAUGGUUGUAAAGCACUUUAAGCGAGGAGGAGGCUCUUUUGGUUAAUACCCAAGAUGAGUGGACGUUACUCGCAGAAUAAGCACCGGCUAACUCUGUGCCAGCCGCCGCAGUAA
RNAcentral lists this ribosomal RNA (503 nucleotides) under uncultured bacterium. RNAcentral's name for it is "partial 16S ribosomal RNA". It matches the Rfam family "Bacterial small subunit ribosomal RNA", at positions 30 to 523 of the family's 1533-position model. The record is from RNAcentral.